CCAACCUCAUCUUCUCAGCCGCCCUCAUCCCCAUCUCUCCCCACGUGUUCUUCUCCCCCACACUCCUGAUUCCCUUUCUCUCUUCUAUCCCCUUCUCUCUGUCCAGCGAGGAACAACACUCCAGUCCCUCUCAAUGGCCGUCGGUGCUUUAAGGCUUCCCCGUAGAGCUCUCGAUCCAGGAGGCCACCACCGAGCCCCUCGACCGCCUCCUCCUUCCUCUUCGUCCUCGCGCAUGCCGCCCCACCGCAGCUCCAAGGAAGCAUGCAGGGGGCCUCACCACUGCCGCCACCACGGCCGUCGCACCGCCGCCGCCUCCGAGUUUGCCGGCCGUUGGCGAACAUCUCCUCUGCGACCGGCGCUGCGACCCUCUGCCUCGCCUCCAUCAUACGUAAGGAUGAUGACGACCGCGCCGACAUCGAUCCAUUGCGGUCCGUCCCUCGCCUCGCUCGUGUGGGGCGCACCUGCGCGUGGACCGCCGGUCAGGCAAGCCGCCCCUCGUUGGCGGGAGCGCCAGUGCCGCUUGCCUGAAGCAUCUGAUGGCGGCCCAGACGUUGCUUCGACGGCGACCAGGACUCCUCUUUGCGUUCGUUUUGUUACUCAUUUGCAUCUCUGCCAUCUGAGUCAAUUGUAAAUUGAUAACCCACAAGUAUAGGGGAUCUAUCGUAGUCCUUUCGAUAAGUAAGAGUGUCGAACCCAACGAGGAGCAGAAGGAAAUGAUGAGCGGUUUUCAGCAAGGUAUUCUCUGCAAGCACUGAAACUAUAGAUAAUAGAUAGUUUUGUGAUAAGAUAAUUUGUAACGAGCAAGAAGUAACAAAAGUAAAUAAAGUGCAGCAAGGUGGCUCAAUCCUUUUUGUAGCAAA
Molecule: long non-coding RNA, 860 nt
Organism: Triticum aestivum (bread wheat)
Lineage: Eukaryota; Viridiplantae; Streptophyta; Magnoliopsida; Poales; Poaceae
Exons: 2
Source: RefSeq, a predicted model, not a curated record